Amphiprion ocellaris (clown anemonefish) is the source of this 3116-nucleotide long non-coding RNA. RefSeq lists it as uncharacterized. Lineage: Eukaryota; Metazoa; Chordata; Actinopteri; Pomacentridae. The record is from RefSeq and is a predicted model, not a curated record. The transcript is spliced from 3 exons.
UACAGAACACAUUUUGACACGUAUUAAAAGCCCAGGCAUGAAUGAGAAAAUUAAUGAUGGCCGAGUUCUUUUUAGCUGCCUCAGUUUCGGUGUUUUGGUAAUGUGCAUACAGGUUCACAUGCUGCCAUUGUCUCCAAUUUCAACUCCUUUAACUUCUCGUACUCCUCCUCCAGGAUGACCUCUGCAUGUUCACUUUAGCCUCCAGUGCGGGAUCCAUCUUUGUUUUGAGCUUUUGGGCAUCAUAUCGGAUUUGUGUAAACUCUGGCAGGCCGAAGAAACCACCAACUGCCAACAACAGCAUGGGAACUCCAUAUUUCACCGUUUUGUUCCUCUGCAGGGUUCUUAAAGUUAAACAUGACUUUAUUCUUCAGCUACAGGUCCAUUUUGUAAAAGCUAACGGCGAGCAGGUCACAGCCGGGACACGCUUCCUGGUUCGGUCCGCUCCGCUAAACUGUCCGUACAGUUACGAGGACACGAAGAAGGUUCCUUGUAAUAGCAUGACUGUGAUGAUUUAAUAGAGCAGAGCCACCUCUAGCACUUUUUAUAAAGGUAAACAAUAUCACAGCGGCACAGAAGGGAAGUCAAGCUAUCUGGAUCGCCCCCUGUUGGAUGAUUGCUGUAGAGGUUAUUAGCCUCAACCCCCAACUACGGGCCACAAGCCAAACUAAUCUAAAUGACCCAUGUAGCGAGGACCCGAUGCCAGGUCCAGUGGACAGACUUCAGACGUCUCUGUGUGUCCGGUCCUGUCUCUGGUUGCCAGGAUACAGACGCUGCUGCACCCGCACGUUUAAAAAUGUCUACACCUGAAACUCCACCACGUCUAAAGAAGCAAAAACGUUUGCAAAUGUACAGACUGGAGUGGGAAGAGUGGAACCCCUGGCAAUGGGUACAAGGCAAACUGUGUUUUCUGUUGCUCAUGGACUGGCUGAAGUAAGGCAGCAUCAGGAGACAAACAUGGAGGAAAUAUGAGAGAGAACAGAGAGAACCCAACCAGCAGGUCACAGUUUAUCAUCAUCUAAUCAUCUCCUGAAGUCGAUAUGACCAAAGAACUACAGAAUCUUCACAACCUGCUCAAACUCUUCGUACAGGACCUCACAACACGGGUCAAGAAGGUUUCCAUCUCAUUUCUACUCCGAAGCUCACCUUCUCCUGCUCAAACUGCUGACAAAUGUUUCUGCUGCUCUAAAGUCUGGUCUCCAGAACUUCCUAAAAACUCUCAAAGUCUCUUCUGCUGCAGGUUGCUUUGUAGAACUGUUCCAGAAAACCUCACUAAACCACAUGGAGGGGCCUCAAGAUAGUCGUCCAAAUGAAACUGUACAAAAACCAAACUAGCACAAGCCAAACACUAAAGUCUCCUGCAGCCUACCAGAGAACCUCUGAGAACAGAGAAUCAGGACAGGAACUCUUACCUUCUGGACAACCAACGUUGGUUCACAAAGAAGAAUACAGAAUGUGUCUGACCAAAAACCUCUAAAGACUCACUACAGCCAAGAUAAAGACACAACGCAGCUGCACCAAACCCACUAAUCACUGCACACAUUAACACCAUGUGCUAACUGUGGCUAAAGAACCUCAUUUACCAAGACAACUAUCCAGUACAAAGCCCUAAAACACACCAAGAAACACAUUAAAGACGAUUUUACUGCUGGAAGCUGCAAGCCAACGCCUAAAGAACAAACUACAGCAACGGAACCAAACCCGGUGAAGAGAAGCAGAGGAAAUGUUUUUGACUCCAGCCAAAUAAAGCAGGAAGACACUGAGUUGCUCAGGUGUUCCUGAUAAUACCAAGCAGCCACCUGGACAGCCAAUAGGAACACAGCUUACUGGAAGUCCAGAGGGCUGGCUUAGUGAAGGAAAUUUAAUUUAAAGUUGAAGCAGAAAGUUAACAAAGAAAGUUGAAAACCACCUUCUGAUACCUGAAAUCUCUGAGUUUUCACACAAAGAAUGCCUGAACAUGUCAAACUGGUUCCAUAGUAGAACCAUCAUUGUAAAAACGUCAUAGUAUGAUGUGUUGCUCAAAAAACAUUAGGACCCGGCUGUCUAGGGUCACCGAGGAGCAACACAAAAACAGGACAAACGCUGGAUUCCAGGGGGUUAGGUGGCUAUUUAUUUGAAAGAGUAAGUUUACAACAACACAACAUGUGAGCAGAAAAAUCACAAAGUCUGUCUUUAGUUCAGCUGAAAAUAUUAUUUUUUGUCUUUUUUAUUGACCAAACUUUUCAGGAAGUAGAUGAAGAAUAAUUAAAGCUCUCAUGUAUAAGUCCAACUUAUUUUGGAUCCUUGUGGAGAUUUUAAUCUUAGAGUUUGUAAAGCUGUUGAGUUUUUAGAGUCACAUGGAUUGUUUUGACUUUUAAUAACCAAGUCCUGAAAUAAAAUUACAGUUGUGGAUUUCUGUCAUGUCUGGACUAAACAAAUAACAGCAGCAUAAAUCUCAAACGUCAUUAUAAGGAGUCUAGAUUGAAGUUUCUCACUUGAUAAUGAUCAAAACAUGAAAUUUAGGUUGAUUUAAAGGAAUAUUCCACCUUAAAUCUUUGAAUGUUGACCUAAAAGGUUGGUUUCAGAAAGUAUUCCAGCUACAAGGUCCUCACACAUCCACCUUAAAGGAACAUUCCACCAAAAAUCCUUGGACAUGCACCUAAAAUGUUGGUUUAACCAAGUAUUCCAUCCAAAAUCCUCAGAGACCUGAGGGGCUGGUUAAAAGGAAUAUUCCACCUAAAACCUCAAAUAUAGAUCCGAAAGGGUGGUUUAGAAAAAAUCCUUCAAUGUAGACCAAAAAAGUUAGUAUGGAGGAAUAUUACACCUGAAAUGUAGACCUGAGAAGUUGGUUUGGAAGAAUAUGCCAUCCUAAACAUCCUUAAAUGUAAACCUAAAAACGGUUUGGAAGAAAAUUCCACCUAAAAACGUUCAACAUAUUUUCCAGACACAGUAAACUGUCACUUUUACAAUCUUCAGCAGGCCAAACCUACGCCAGUCAUUUACAUUUAGAAAUAUCUUUGGUACAGUUAGGUGAUUCAUCAUCAGAUAUGAUUUCAACAUUUUUUUUCAGGAUGAGUGUUAAUUCUUUGAAAACAGAAAAAUCUUCAUCAAUGUCUGAGCGAUACAGUUGAAAGCUCCAG